Molecule: long non-coding RNA, 1380 nt
Filed under: Phasianus colchicus (ring-necked pheasant)
Lineage: Eukaryota; Metazoa; Chordata; Aves; Galliformes; Phasianidae
Description: lncRNA (ENSPCLG00000014090.1)
Source: RNAcentral
UUAUCGUGCUCAUUCGGUCUGUUCUCCUCCCCAACUUUUCCCAUCCUCUGCCGGGAAGGGAUGUGGUAUCACAAGCACAGGAAAUGCAAUAGGAACAGAGGCACACUUCAGGCUGGACUUCUGCUGUCACAGAUUCCUGCUGAGGUCCGGUACCAGCAGGCCGCCACUCUCACAGUGCUGCAGUUGCAAAGGAGGAGUGCUGAUUGCUGGAGGUUUGGGAGCAGCUGAGCAGCCCUUCAAUUCCGUUUUCCUUCUGAGGGAGACUGAACAUGGCUUUCGGUGGCAGAUUGUAGAGACACAGCCUCCUCUCACCCCAAGGAACGUUUGCAGUGGCCCUUAUUGCUACCUAAUCAUAGCAAUGUUUUUCUGCCAGAUGAGGAGGAGAUGUUGCUUAUUGAUAGUGGUGAUGGGAACUGCUUCUCCUUUGGGACACACUGGAAUCCAAAUCCUGUCUCACUGAACCUCAGCAGCAUUCUGACCAGCCACUAACAGGGACCAACCAGGACUGAGCUGUAACGCUGCACCAUGGUGUGACAUCUGUUUACCUGCAGGUCCAAGAACAACCAAAUGCUACUUACAACGUUUUUGGUAUCCUGAAUGCAUUUAUGAAGGUGGGAUAAGGAGAAGGGGUUAAGAAGUGAAGUUCUGUCAAGGGAUUGCAUACCUCUUCUGUCUUUUUUUUUUUUUUUUUUUUUUUUUUUUGUAGUCCUUUUUUGUGUUGUUGCAAACAGUGUUUUCCAGAACUAGCUUUGUAGGCCUAGCUUCAUAGAAUCAUAGUAUCCUACAAUGGCCUGGGUUGAAAAGGACCACAAUGAUCAUGUAAUUUCAACCCCCUGCUAUGUGCAGGGUUGCCAGCCACCAGACCAGGCUGCCCAGAGCCACAACCAGCCUUAGAGGUGAAGUAAGAAACAGUGCUGUGUUCAGGAGCGAUGUAAGUUUGCACAGUGCUGACUUGUAGGUCAAGCGAAGUCACUGAGUCAAGACGCCAUUGGAAAUAUGCAACCAAGCAUAACUGAACAUGAAGCAGAAUGUGUCACUGGUCAUUCUUGAAUGUUUCUAAAGGCCUUUGUAAGGGUUUGUGGAAGGAGAGUGUCUGCUCCCUUAAGGAUAUUUGGUCAAAGACUAUUUUACAGUGUAACAAGGGAAAUAGGAAAGGGAGGAAGACAUAAGCAGGACCAUAGAGAGAUACAGACCUGACCAGCAAAUGAUAAGCAAGGCUGUAAUGGGAAGCUGCCUGCUCAGGCACAGUUAUUGAUGGGGGGUGUAAGUGUGAGAGUGUUUAUUCCAGCAAGGUUAUCUGCUAGGGACUUUGUUGAGUGGGAAACUAAAGGAAAAAGGGGAAGGCAGAAACCAAAAUAAACGAUGAUAUAGACCUGACCA